UGAGCAACCUGCCCUUAACUCUGGGAUAAGCCUGGGAAACUGGGUCUAAUACCGGAUAUGACUCCUCAUCGCAUGGUGGGGGGUGGAAAGCUUUAUUGUGGUUUUGAAUGGACUCGCGGCCUACCAGCUUGUUGGUGAGGUAAUGGCUCACCAAGGCGACGACGGGUAGCCGGCCUGAGAGGGUGACCGGCCACACUGGGACUGAGACACGGCCCAGACUCCUACGGGAGCAG
RNAcentral lists this ribosomal RNA (233 nucleotides) under uncultured bacterium. RNAcentral describes it as "partial 16S ribosomal RNA". It matches the Rfam family "Bacterial small subunit ribosomal RNA", at positions 118 to 347 of the family's 1533-position model. The record is from RNAcentral.